This 534-nucleotide long non-coding RNA is filed under the name Chloebia gouldiae (Gouldian finch). RNAcentral describes it as "Erythrura gouldiae (Gouldian finch) lncRNA (ENSEGOG00005005295.1)". Lineage: Eukaryota; Metazoa; Chordata; Aves; Passeriformes; Passeridae. The record is from RNAcentral.
AAAGGCAUGAGGGCAGCUUGAAUGAUUAAACAUUAAGCUGAAAGGCAGCAUUUGGAAGAGACCUGAGUGGGGACCUCCCUGCUGGAUUAAAUGAAACGUUCUCCUUGCAGAAAACGGAGAAAAAAACUCGGCUGCAGGCAGGAGGUUCUCUCUAUAUAAGUGAACGCUUCUGUUGUUCCCUGUUGUGGUGUCCAAUAAGCACAGCCACUCGUGGUUUCUCAGGUCCCUCAGAGCACUUAUCCAGUCUCAUUUUAGCUCCUGCCUCAAGGUUUUGUGGACGCAUCUGCAUGAUUUCUACAAAUCCUAUUACACCUUAUACGUGGAGAAAUGAGGACACAGAUGUCUUGGCACAGGAUUUGCACUGAAGAAUCACAGCUCAGUAUUAUUGGUCUUUUCCUUCCUCUCACUGCUGGGCUGCUCAUGUUCAAGAGCCGGAUGGUCACAGGCCUUAUAAGCUUCUUUUCUUAACCUGACUGCCCACGGAAAUGAGGUAUUUGCAACACUGCUUUUCAUCUGGUGGUGAGGUUUGUUUUG